UACGAGGGGAGCAAGCGUUGUUCGGAAUUACUGGGCGUAAAGCGUGCGCAGGCGGUUAUGUAAGACAGAUGUGAAAUCCCCGGGCUCAACCUGGGAACUGCAUUUGUGACUGCAUAGCUAGAGUACGGUAGAGGGGGAUGGAAUUCCGCGUGUAGCAGUGAAAUGCGUAGAUAUGCGGAGGAACACCGAUGGCGAAGGCAAUCCCCUGGACCUGUACUGACGCUCAUGCACGAAAGCGUGGGGAGCAAACAGG
Molecule: ribosomal RNA, 253 nt
Filed under: uncultured bacterium
Lineage: Bacteria
Description: partial 16S ribosomal RNA
Rfam family: Bacterial small subunit ribosomal RNA
Source: RNAcentral